RNAcentral lists this long non-coding RNA (991 nucleotides) under Sorghum bicolor (sorghum). Its description in RNAcentral is "long non-coding RNA (SBIC_LNC007671)". The record is from RNAcentral. Lineage: Eukaryota; Viridiplantae; Streptophyta; Magnoliopsida; Poales; Poaceae.
GCAUAUAUAUUGUUAACCCCUUCCGUAGGGUAAGGUUGGAUUUGCUGAGUACUUUGUACUCACCCUUGCUUUAUUAAACAGAGGAAGAUCCGGACUUCGAUCCCGAAGUGGCGUUCGAGUAAGGUCGUGUCUGCACCCAACUAAGCCUGUGGCAUUGGGACUCGUCAGAUGUUCGAUUGUGAUAUCGUUUAUUUCUGGGUCUUUGGACCUAUGUUGUAUUUUGGUGUCUUAUUAUUAUAGCGUGCCUUCCUUGUCCACGCUUACCGAGACUACUGCGAUAAAACUUAUCUGAUGUAAUAAAUGUGUUAUUAGCCUCUUGGAACUAGUAUUGUAUCACAUUUGAGUUCCUGGUUUACCAGGGGCGCUUCACUCUUUGACACGAGUAACUGGAUCCGCUCUUCUCCUCCUCACUCUCCAUCUCUCCUCGCUCCUCAUUCCCUUACUCUCUUUCUGUGAGGGCUCUAGAUCUAUACCUAGAUCUAGUGGCAGUCUACAUCUUUGUUCCUGCGUGCGGCACGAUGGGGCUAGAUCCGGCUCGGAACGAGCUCAUUGGUGGGCUCAGGAAUGGGCUCAUUGGUGGUCUCAAGAAUGGGCGCGCUCACCAUUGGGCUUGUUUUUUUGUUUUUUUUUAUCAAUUAACCGUAAUGGGCAUUCUAAGGAGCUCACCUCCGGUAAUAGAUUAAUGGAAGCGGGCAAAACAAAUGCCACAAUUAUAUCAUGGUUAACCGAGGCCAUUGGAGGCGGUUGCAAUGCCCGCCUCCAUUAACCCAUUUUGUCUGCCUCCAAUUAGUAUUAUGUAGUAGUGUCUGCGCACCCAGCCCUCCAGAGGUCGCCGGGAGCUUGCAUCAUCACGCUCCACUGCUUCACACAAUAGAGGUUCCAGGUACAGAAGAGAGAUUGAUUGGUUGAUUUUUAUCUGAACUCUAGACAGAAAAGAAUGAGAAUGUAUAUCGGGAAGAAUAGUUUCUUGGUGCACAAUAUCCUAGACCAU